CCCAGGCCUACUAUGUCUGACAUUCUGGAAGGAGGCCCAGUGGUCUGUAGCGUAACAAGCGCACCAGGUGAUUCUGAUGUGCUGCUCAAGUUUAAGAACCACUAACUUAAAGAACCAACACAAACUAUGGCUCCUGAUCUUCCCUCUCUACUUUCUCCAAAAUCUAUCCCACGUCUUCAUUUUUUAAUUCAGAAUGGGAGAAGAGGCAGAUGCAAAGUUAGAGGAAAAGGAGUAAGAGAUAAGAAACCUCAGAGAUAGAACCUCCCUCUGCCUGGUCCAAGGAGAACAUAUGGGGCAGAGCCCCUAGUUGACCAUCAGUGGCCAUGUGAUUCCUUCUGGCGAAUGAAAUAUGAGCAGAAAUAGCAUGCAUCCCAUCCAGGCUGAGACCAGUGAGCCGCCUCUUUGUCUGUCUACUACUCCUUCAAGAAAUGACAAUGAAGCCAUAUACUGAGAAACUGUUACUUCCAUAUUGUGUCAAUCUAUAUCUCCAAGUCGCCAUAUACCCAAGGUCUAAUCCCCGAUUGUUUUUGCUUGCAUAAGAGAGAAACUAUAUAACCAUAAAACGUUCAAGUCACCAGAAUGAUGUAAAAAUUCUAAAUUUGAAUAAUAUAAUAAAAUCAAAAUGUAUAAAGCUAAUAUUAAUCAAACUGCAAAUGGAAGUUGCCAAAUUCAUUAUCUUAGUCACGCCAAGAGUCACCUUAUAAACAGCAGCACAAAUUAAUGAAGAAAGUGAAUGUUUGAAGAGGAUCGGUCCUUCCAGUUGUGCUGUCUGGGAUGCCACCUCUGCAAUGGCCUGAUGAGCAGUGCUAGGUCUGCGCCCAGGAUCUGAACUGGCGAAACCCUGGGCCACUGAAGUGGAGCACGCAAACCCAACCACUUGGCCACGGGGUCAGCCCCAAAAUACAUUGUUUUUAUGUAAGAAUUUCAGUUUAUUUCCUUUUAAAAUUAUGUCUAGUUAACAGACCUUGACUUUUACCUCAAAACGCUCAAAUUUUCAUUUGAAACUCAAGAUGAGCAAAACAAAAUCAAAUACCAACUAACUCUGGAACCAAUCAAAUGCCUAAAAUCUCAGAGGAAUUUUGCUAACUAUAAAUGAUAAAAGUAGUGGAAGAAAAAUAGUUUGUCGCCUGCUCGUGCUUGACCUCAUGAAAAGAGCAAACCACUCAUCUAUGAGGAUUACAGAAGAGAGAAUUUGGCCUUCUCCCACUUCCUGUCCACUAACUCAUGGGAACAGAUUUGUACCAACGAGAAAGCUGCGUAGUCCUCCCUCUCCCACAUGGGAAACAUUUCUACGUUGCCCUCCUUCUUUCCACUUUUAUGUCGCUCACUUUCAACAUUCCACUGCCUAAGAUGGCCAAACCUCUUGCCUGCAUCAUGGUAGAGACGGCAGCUCCCAUAAAGACUCCCUAAGGUCCAGCAGAUCUACAGGAGAGGAAAGCAGGCUAGAUAUCAGCACUGGGCUAAAGGAACAGCACCUCUCCUCCAGCUGUAAGUCUAAGAACAGGAUUUGGUCCACAUCCAAAUGGAAAUGGAGUAGCGACAUAGGCAAUCUAAAUUUUUUCCCAGGUGGCAAGUUCUAAGUAUGAUCAGAUAACUUCUCUUUUGAAGAAGAGUAAACAGGAAACAACGGCAAAAUUAACAAUAAUAAAAUGUGUGAUGUUUUGGAAGAAAGUCACACAGUAAAAGGAAUAACACAAUUCUAAAAAUUAUUAGUACAUCAGUAAUUAGAAGAAACUUUAAAAACUUGUACCUGUAAGAUAAGGAAGAUGACAUAUCUAUGAAGCUGGAACAAAAAGUAAUAGAAAAAGAAUUACUGAGAUAAAAUAUGAUAGGAGGAAUUUUUUAAAAAUCCACAAAAUAAGAUGCAAAGGCAAUAAAACAGAUAAAAAGGGAAUACAAUGAGAAAAGUAAUGAGAAAAAAUCUGCAAGGAAUUGAAAACACGAUGAUGAAAUUGAAAUCUUCAUUGGCAGCUGUAAGCAACAGAAUUGAUCCUACGAAAAAAUUUAUCAAGGAUGGAAAGGAGAAAAUAAUGAGAAAGACAAAUUUUCCUUUGGUGGAUAGAGAUCAAAACUAAGAAAAAUACAUUUUCUGAAAGAAGAAAUCUGAAGAUUUGUAACGGAAGAAAUAACCAAGUUAUAGUUGGAAAAGUCCUAAUAUGAACCACAAAAAGACAAAACCACAAUCACUCAAAUACUUUUAAAAACUUUUCUCUGGUUUCUAUGUAAAAUCAAUGGAAAAAACUUAUACAUCUCCCAGCUUUGACUCAAAUGUUCUGUUCUCUAAGACAGGAAAAAACAGGUUAAUUAAAAAGUUGUAAGAGCGGCGUCCUCUCUGUUUGGGAGUAAAAUGGGCACUCAUGUGUAUGUGUGUGUGCAUGCGCACAGUAGGGAGCAUGAUUGGAAGAGUAGUCAGAAUUUCAGAAGAAUGCAGGUGACAUCAAAGUCCAUCACCAGAACUCCAAUGCAGGAGUCUUAGAUCAAUACUGGAGAUGAAAAGAGUAAUUUAAGCUGAUACAUUAGAAAAGAGUUGGCUGGAAUAUAUAUGUAGUAACUGGGCUGGAUCAUCCAAGUUGGAUCACGAAGUUGAAGCCAAAUUUAUUGAAGAUGGCAGAGCAAGACUCAGAAGCAUCAUGUGGUGUAGUGACUGUGGACUCACCAUCCUUCCUAUGUCUGGACUGUGUACCUCUUCAGUAACAUAUGAGAGACAGAAGCUGAUAUCUUGGUCUUGGCUAAACACCAUUUUGUGAGUUUUCUUACAUUCAAGGGUGAACUUAAUCUCAGCGUAUUUGUUUUUGCUGCUUUGUCAGUGAAGCAAUUGUGUUUGGUUCCACAUAUUUUUACUAAAAUUAGAAUGUGAGACAGAGCUGUACAUAAUAACAGAAGGCUUUGUGUUUUUAAAAUAUUUUAGAUGCACAAAAAGAUAUGAAGAAUAUGAUAAAUACUCAGAACAACUACUAAACCUAAAAAAUAAGACAUUUUAAAUAGUUUUGAGUUUCCCAUGUGUCUCUUACUGGUCUCUUUCUCCUCUCCCGUCUACCAUGCCCCAGUGUCCAAGAGGAAUAGCUAUUCUGACUUUGGUGUUCAGCAUUCCCGUGCACGUGUUCACACUUUUCCUGAGAAGGUUAAUAAUAUGGAUUUUUCAGAAUUUUGAAUUUAAUAUAUAGGGCACUACUGUAGUGUGAAUUGUGUCUCCCUUGCCCCCAAUUCAUAUGUUGAAGCUCUAAUUCUCAACGUAAUGGUAUUUACAGAUGGGGCCUUUUGGAGGUAGUUCAGUUUAGAUGAGGUCGUGAGGGAGAGGCCAUCACAAUGGGAUUGGUGUCCUAAUAAGCAGUGACAGCAGAAAGCUUCUUUCUCCUUUUCUUUCUUCACCAUGUGGGGACAGAAGGUGCUGUCUGCCAGUCAGGAAGGGGGCGCUCACCAGGAACUGAAUUUGCUGGCCCCUUGAUCUUGGACUUCGCAGCCUCCACAGCUGUGAGAAUUAAAUGUCCCUGGCAUUAUGCCACUCAGUGUAUGGCAGUUUGUUAUAACGGCCUGAGCUGACUAAGACAAGCACCAGACUGUAUGCAGUUUUCUGCAGGCUGCUUUCUCUCUAAUCAUCAUUGUUUGAGAGAUGAACUCAUGAUGAUAUUCUUUCUGAAACUGAUGAUUUCUCACCUUUGCUACUUUUUGCCAAAUUGCACCGCAAAAUUAAAGGUUCUUCACAUCCAUGUCAACACAUAGCAUUGCCAAAGUCUAAAAACUGCCAAUCUAUUA
Molecule: long non-coding RNA, 3753 nt
Organism: Equus caballus (horse)
Lineage: Eukaryota; Metazoa; Chordata; Mammalia; Perissodactyla; Equidae
Source: Ensembl